RNAcentral lists this long non-coding RNA (312 nucleotides) under Solanum tuberosum (potato). Its description in RNAcentral is "long non-coding RNA (STUB_LNC006474)". Lineage: Eukaryota; Viridiplantae; Streptophyta; Magnoliopsida; Solanales; Solanaceae. The record is from RNAcentral.
UGUAAGAUGAAAUCCCAUGAACAAAAGAAAUAGAGCAGCAUGUGUUUUACUCACUGUGUAACCCAAAACAAGAGGAUUUUCAGCAUUAGGAGUUUUCACCAGAGCAAGCUUUUUGUCUUCAGGUUUGUCUAUGAGGUAAUAAAUGAAUCACUUUUCAGUCAUUUGGCUCAAUUAUAACAAAAUGGUUGAACGGAACAUGGAUAUAUGCAGAUCGGAUAAAAAGGCAAAGAAUUUCUCACAUGCAAGCCAGGCCCAACCAGAGCCAAAUUGUGUUGCUGCAGCUGCCUUAAAUUCUUUAACAAACGUAUCAUA